This 416-nucleotide ribosomal RNA is filed under the name uncultured bacterium. Its description in RNAcentral is "bacterial SSU rRNA". It matches the Rfam family "Bacterial small subunit ribosomal RNA", at positions 355 to 787 of the family's 1533-position model. The record is from RNAcentral.
UGGGGAAUAUUGCACAAUGGGCGAAAGCCUGAUGCAGCAACGCCGCGUGAAGGAUGAAGUAUUUCGGUAUGUAAACUUCUAUCAGCAGGGAAGAUAACGACGGUACCUGACUAAGAAGCCCCGGCUAACUACGUGCCAGCAGCCGCGGUAAUACGUAGGGGGCAAGCGUUAUCCGGAUUUACUGGGUGUAAAGGGAGCGUAGACGGAUCUGCAAGUCUGGAGUGAAAGCCCGGGGCUCAACCCCGGGACUGCUUUGGAAAUCUGUGGAUCUAGAGUGCCGGAGAGGUAAGCGGAAUUCCUAGUGUAGCGGUGAAAUGCGUAGAUAUUAGGAGGAACACCAGUGGCGAAGGCAGCGUACUGGCGCCUGACUGACGCUGAGGCACGAAAGCGUGGGGAUCGAACAGGAUUAGAUACCC